GCAUAGGUCAUGCAUCAUGAAUAUACAGCAGGUUGUUUGCAUUAGCAUUCACGAAUCUGUUGCAUUGCAUAGUUCAUUGUUGUUGUGGGUGAAUGCUGAAUGAUCCCAUAGUCUCUGAGAGAAGUCCAGGAGCCUUUGACUACGCCCUGGCAGGUAUAGAGAAGUCCAGGAGCCUAUGACUACGCCCUGGCAGGUAUAGAGUAAAGUCCAGGAGCCUUUGACUACGCCCUGGCAAUGGUAAGUACAGAGGUGUUAUAUACAUAUACAUAUAUGACAGGAAGACCAGGUGCUCGAUUCUACGCCCUGGCACGACAGAGUUACCGG
RNAcentral lists this long non-coding RNA (324 nucleotides) under Manihot esculenta (cassava). RNAcentral describes it as "long non-coding RNA (MESC_LNC012598)". The record is from RNAcentral. Lineage: Eukaryota; Viridiplantae; Streptophyta; Magnoliopsida; Malpighiales; Euphorbiaceae.